Molecule: non-coding RNA, 86 nt
Organism: Cryptococcus sp. DSM 104549
Lineage: Eukaryota; Fungi; Basidiomycota; Tremellomycetes; Tremellales; Cryptococcaceae
Source: the annotation of a GenBank genome assembly
GCCCGAGUGGCCUAAUGGUUAAGGCAUCUGACUUCUACUUAUUGUAUGGGAUCAGAAGAUUGCGGGUUCAAUCCCCGCCUUGGGUU